UACAGAGGGGGCAAGCGUUGUUCGGAAUUACUGGGCGUAAAGGGCGCGUAGGCGGCCUGCUAAGUCGAACGUGAAAUCCCCGAGCUCAACUCGGGAACUGCGUCCGAUACUGGCAGGCUUGAAUCCGGGAGAGGGAUGCGGAAUUCCAGGUGUAGCGGUGAAAUGCGUAGAUAUCUGGAGGAACACCGGUGGCGAAGGCGGCAUCCUGGACCGGCAUUGACGCUAAGGCGCGAAAGCCAGGGGAGCAAACGGG
RNAcentral lists this ribosomal RNA (253 nucleotides) under uncultured bacterium. RNAcentral's name for it is "partial 16S ribosomal RNA". It matches the Rfam family "Bacterial small subunit ribosomal RNA", at positions 524 to 776 of the family's 1533-position model. The record is from RNAcentral.